AGCUCCAAUAGCGUAUAUUAAAGUUGUUGUGGUUAAAAAGCUCGUAGUUGGAUCUCAACAGCCUUGAAGCGGUUAACUUUGUAGUUUUACUGCUUUAUAGGCUGUGCUUUUGCUGGAGGUUUAGGGGUGCUCUUGAUCGAGUGUCUCUGGAUGCCAGCAGGUUUACUUUGAAAAAAUUAGAGUGCUCAAAGCAGGCUAAAAUGCCUGAAUAUUCGUGCAUGGAAUAAUAGAAUAGGAUGUCGAUCCUAUUUUGUUGGUUUUCGGGACUCGACAUAAUGAUAAAUAGGGACAGUCGGGGGCAUUUGUAUUCAAACGACAGAGGUGAAAUUCUUGGACCGUUUGAAGACAAACUACUGCGAAAGCAUUUGCCAAGAAUGUUU
RNAcentral lists this ribosomal RNA (380 nucleotides) under uncultured eukaryote. Its description in RNAcentral is "SSU rRNA". It matches the Rfam family "Eukaryotic small subunit ribosomal RNA", at positions 587 to 969 of the family's 1831-position model. The record is from RNAcentral.